CUCGGUUUAAGUUUCCUGACCUUUCGAGAAAUCCUCCCUCGUUACAAAAGCAAUUGCACCGGCACGCGAUAUUACGGUCAACUCUUAAACCUCUUUCUGUCUUAUUUCCUCGAAAAUCAUACCACCGCCGUAGUUACCUUCGAACAGUUAAACCACCAGCGACGCAACUGCAAACCACCAAUUGAUGAGGUUUUUGUUUCUUGGAUUUUCCUCAAAUGGCUAGUAUUCAUGAUACGCCAUCUUUUCACAUGCCUGGUAUUCAUCGUAUCCCGGAAAUGUUCCCGGAGGAGGAGGAGAUGCAAAUAAGGAGAAACCUUAAACUUAGAGACACAUUAAUUAGCAAAAAACUUGAUCUUCUAGAAAAAGCUGCCAAAGCUGCAGGACGCCCGUUCAAAAGGUAAUUAAAUUCAUUGCAUUUUUGUAUUGUUGUUUAUUAAACUCCAGUAGUUUCUGUUGAUGCAAUUGCAAACAAAAUUAAAGGAUAUGAUUGGCUCCUUGACUCUGCAAGAGAGAUGAGACAAUGUGUAUGAAGAUGCAUGUUCAAGAUUCAUCUGCAGUUUCCUUACGAGAAGUAGUUGUGCUUCAACCUUCCCUCAUUCGGGACAACUCAGUGUGCUCUCUCUUCUUUUUCAUGUCCUCUUCAAACUCGGUUGUAGUGAUUUAUGGUGAUGCCACAUUGAAAGUUUGCUGUAUUUCAACAUUGAUCAAGGGUUUUGGAAACCUGCUGCAGACUUUGUUUGUAUUGGUGUAUAUAAUGUUUGUUCAUUAUGCAAUUUCAUGUUGUUUUCAUCUAUCCAUUGUGGGUAUUAUUAGUUUAACUGUGGAUGUAGAACAUGAGAGUUCUCUAGGUUAACUGCGCUCGAAAUUGGAAUCUAAGAGUUCACUUGGUUAA
Long non-coding RNA from Papaver somniferum (opium poppy), 892 nucleotides. RefSeq lists it as uncharacterized. The record is from RefSeq and is a predicted model, not a curated record. The transcript is spliced from 3 exons. NCBI's taxonomy places the organism in Eukaryota, Viridiplantae, Streptophyta, Magnoliopsida, Ranunculales, Papaveraceae.